Molecule: long non-coding RNA, 2506 nt
Organism: Ruditapes philippinarum (Manila clam)
Lineage: Eukaryota; Metazoa; Mollusca; Bivalvia; Venerida; Veneridae
Exons: 2
Source: RefSeq, a predicted model, not a curated record
CGGUCUUACUGAUACUUGAGACCGGUGCGUAUACAAUGAAAGAGGAAGUGUAAUUUGGAAAUUUUCCAAAUCACCCUUGGAAGUAUUUGUUUACCGUAAAAACAUAUCAGAAAAAUUGAUACAUUUCAAUUAAAAAAUGUUUCAGUCACCUGAAUAUUGCAAAACUUUGUCGCUGAAAUUAUCCCAGGUUUUACAUGAUGUUGGUGUUAAUGAGAAAUGGUGUUGAAAAUGAGAAGAACAUUUUUGCUGAUGGAGAGUUUAAAUACGAUUACAUUCAGAUCAAUUGGUAAAAAGAGAACUUUGUAUCAUCUUGGGAGUCAGACUGAAGGUACCACUACUACAGGACUUAAGUCAGAUGUUGACGGGGUGAUUGUAAAUUAUGAUUAUAAUGUGAUACAAGACUGGCCAGAGUGGAAACAUAAUAAGACCAAUCUUCGUAUGAUACAGGAUGAGAAUGUUACACCAGGGUAUUGUUUUCUACAAUUACUUCGAUCUGAUGAGCCUCUUUUUUAGACAAACAUUCCUAUUGGCAUUACAUAAGAGAUAUCAAUGGGAGAAUACUAUUAAGAAAUACAUUCCCAACACCUUUAAUUCAAGAAGGUACUGAGCGACACGGGCCAUCAAAUGCUGUCCCCGGGGAUAUGAAUGGUGGAUGUUGUGACCGUGACAUUGUAUUUGCUUUUCCUUUUAAUUCAUGGCCACAAUCAACAUCACAAUUCCUUGAAAGAGCUGCUGUUAUGAGAUGGCUACCAUCUGAAAGUGUCAGAUAUGCUGCUAGCUAUGAUUGUUUUGUUGUUGGUGCUAGUAGCAAAAUUGCUAUUUAUCCAGAAUUAGAGUAGAGAAUAUCUACUUCUCUACCAGAGAGAUGUCUCAUGUUUAAUCUAAAUAUCACGCAAUUACAAUGCUAUGUUUUAAUGAAAAUUACUUUGAAAUCCUUUUUUUAUUCCGAAGCAAAGAAUGCUUUGUCAAGUUUUAUGUGUAAAACCGUUUUAUUGCAUUGUAUAGAAAAAACAGAACAAGACAUAUGGAAAAGGGACAAUCUUUUUACAUGUUUAUCUUACUGCUUGCUUAAACUCAAUAGCCAUGUUCAAAAUGAAAAUUGCCCGCAUUUCAUAAUGGCUGAAAAUAACUUAAUGGCUGGACAAUUUCCAGCUGAAAAGAAGCGAUACGUUUUACAGAAAUUAUGUGACAUAGUGCAGAGCGAUGGAAGAUGUUAACUACGAAUAAGCAUUGAUAAUAUUAGCCAGAGACUACAGGUCAAGUUGGGUACAUUUGUCCAUAAUGUUUAUAGUUUUCAAAACUCACUUGAGAUAUAUGAAGAUCGUUUGUCUGAACUUUUCAUUAGCUUAAUGAAAGGGAUAAGCGAAUGCCUAUUACUAGUGCUCAUGAAAGUGUCAAAUGACCACAUAUGUCAUCUUAAACAAAUUAUCUUAAAGCUAACAUACUACAGUAUACGCGGAAAUAGACUCGAUCAGCUGGCAAGUCGUUGUCUGGCACCAUUCAUAUAUUCAACUCUAGGCCUUGAAUUGGCGUCAUCAAGUAUUGAACAGAAUUAUACAGUUCAAUAUGAAGCACUUCAGUGGCUUACAUUGGGUUUGAACUCAGAUGUUACAUCCGGGAGACUAAAACUAGCGUCCAUGUUCUACUGUGUAGGUGAUAUGGAUAUAGCAGAGUUCAUUCUGAGACAAACUGAAAGUCGAUAUAACUCUACUGUUGUUGAACCUGUAUCGUUAUCGUUUUACAAGUCUGUCUGUUGAAUUAUUUAAGAGAAAAUGCAGUGAGCAAAGUGAAAAUUGCAUAAAAAAUGUCACAUCAUGUUGUGUAAAAUUCCUGCAGACAGAAAUAAAUUGUUUACCUCGAGAACUACGGUAUGAAAUCAUUAGACCUCUUCCAGAUGAUGUGCCACACAGAAGUAUAUCAGAAUGUCAAUGGAUGAACUAUGCUGCUGUUGAUUCUCUCCCUUAUCUCUACUUUUUACAAUACAAGACAUACGGUCAUCUACAAAGGGAUCAGGAUCACCAACUGGCACUAAGUAACCUUGUAGAGGUUAUCUUUACUAGAAGAAACUUAAGUCACAUGGAGACAGCUCUCAACCUUCUCGGUCAAUGUUUGGAAGAAGAGGACAAACCAAGGGAAGCGUUACAGUGUUAUGUGUUUUCCCUUCAACAAAGCGAACGAAACAAUGCAGCAAAUUUUCAUAUUUGUAAUUUACUUAGAAAGUAUGCUUCAAAAAUGUAGACGUUCAAAUUCCCUCUACGGGUGAAAUGACAAAGUUAAACGUUUGAAACUUUGUUAAAUUGUGUAUUUAACCAAAAUGUUGUCUCUUGUUAGUUUGCCACAAACGUUCAGUAAAUGUGCAGUUAUAUAAUACCGCUUUAACAAACAAACCAAAGUUGUAUUGUGAUCAUAUCAUCAUAAUUAACAUCACAUUUGUUAAGUACAUGUAAAUAUGAUAUAAUUUAUCCAAGGAUAAAAUUAUUGAUGAAAAUACAAUUUAUUAACAAUG